This 1129-nucleotide long non-coding RNA is filed under the name Piliocolobus tephrosceles (Ugandan red Colobus). RNAcentral's name for it is "lncRNA (ENSPTEG00000001491.1)". The record is from RNAcentral. Lineage: Eukaryota; Metazoa; Chordata; Mammalia; Primates; Cercopithecidae.
AAUUUGGUAGAUCAGAGUGAAAAACGAUUGGGAGACUCAUUUAGAGUAUAUAAAUAUUUUUUGUUAAAAAGCAAAAAUGAGGCUAGAGCCAUUUUCAUUUAUGAUGAUUUAAAUAUUAAGAAAGCCAAUAAAUUGCAUAUACAUAAAGAAGAACAUGAUGUCGAUAUUUUAAAUAUAACAAAAAAUUUGGAUCAUAUAUAUUUAUUAGAUGAAUCAAGUACAUUUAGUGAAUCAUUGUUUAAAGAACGAAAAAUAUUUUCUUUGAAUAAAGACUGUUCAGUUACAAAUUAUGUUUUCACCAAAUUUGUGUUUGAGAAAAAUAUUGAAAAAACGGACCCCGCGGAGAUAUUGUCUCUUUUGCUAAACAAUGAGCUACAUAUUAAAAAUGAAAAUGUAGAAGUUGUAAAAAAUGAUAAACACCUGGAGACUUAUAGCAAAGGGAACAAUGGACAAGUCAAGACACUACUUUCUAGCAGAAAAAAUAAUCACCCACAAUCUUUUGUUCAAUUUAUUGGUAUAUUAGCUGGUAUAGCAAGUUUAGUUGGUGCAUUACCAGGUGCGUUUUCUGCUAUAUCUUCAGCGUUUACCUCUAUAACAAGUCCAUCACCAGAAAAUUUUUUAACUGAAGAAGUUCCGAAUCUUCCUAAUUAUGAAGAUACCAUAAAGAAAUUACCAGCUAUAAUAGAUGAUCAUGUUGAUCAGAUUAAACAAGUUGGUAAAGAUACAAUUGAUAAAGUCGGACUAGAUCAAGUUGUAAGCGAUAUUAAAAAAAAAAUUGCUACGAAACACAAUGAUAGCGAAGAGGAGGAUGACGAAGAGGUGGAUGAGGAUGAUAAAGAGGAGGAUGACGAAGAGGUGGAUGAGGAUGAUGAAGAUGAGGAUGACGANNNNNNNNNNGAUGAGGAUGACGAAGAGGUGGAUGAGGAUGAUGAAGAUGAGGAUGAUGAAGAGGUGGAUGAGGAUGAGGAUGAUAAAGAUGAUGAAGAUUAAGAUCAUGAAGAUGAGGAUAACCAGAACAAUUAUAACAAAUACAUGUAUGGUAAAUACCCGUCUGAUAAACGCACAUAUGGCUAUUAAAUAAGAUAGUAAAUAUGAUUAAAACAAUUAAUAAAAAUAAUGGCCGUUAACA